RNAcentral lists this ribosomal RNA (279 nucleotides) under uncultured bacterium. RNAcentral describes it as "partial 16S ribosomal RNA". It matches the Rfam family "Bacterial small subunit ribosomal RNA", at positions 506 to 784 of the family's 1533-position model. The record is from RNAcentral.
UGCCAGCCGCCGCGGUAAUACGAAGGGGGCGAGCGUUGUUCGGAAUGACUGGGCGUAAAGGGCGCGUAGGCGGAUCGUCAAGUCAGAGGUGAAAGCCCCGGGCUCAACCCGGGAGGUGCCUUUGAAACUGACGGUCUUGAGUACGGGAGAGGUGAGCGGAAUUCCCAGUGUAGAGGUGAAAUUCGUAGAUAUUGGGAAGAACACCAGUGGCGAAGGCGGCUCACUGGCCCGUAACUGACGCUGAGGCGCGAAAGCGUGGGGAGCAAACAGGAUUAGAUA